This 6293-nucleotide long non-coding RNA is filed under the name Populus trichocarpa (black cottonwood). Its description in RNAcentral is "long non-coding RNA (PTRI_LNC001176)". Lineage: Eukaryota; Viridiplantae; Streptophyta; Magnoliopsida; Malpighiales; Salicaceae. The record is from RNAcentral.
ACAGAGAAACAGAAUCCUUUUAUCUGAACCAGCUAUCUUGCCUCCCAGUGCCUUCACAACAAGCUGGAUGUACUCAGGAUGCGCCUUAUAUAUAACUCCAGUAAUGAGAUUGCCAUCAGAAACACAAUCCAUCAUGGUUUUGGGUUCAAUCCAAAGAGCACCGGCAUCGAUGAGAACAGGUCCCAGAGCACGGUAUGCAGUGCACUUCCGGCCUUUAAUAAGCCUGCAGCUGCCAAGAUCAAUGGCCCAUGGCAAAUAGCAGCAAUCAGCUUUCCUGAAUCGGAAAAUUGCCUCGCACAAUUUAACACAGAUUCAUUCAUGGCAAGAUAUUCUGGAGCCCUUCCUCCUGGUAUAACAAGCGCAUCAUAUUUGCUGAAAUCAACUUCAUCGAAAGUUGCAUUGAGACUAAAGUUGUGCCCAGGCUUCUCAGUAUAAGUCUACAGCAAGUAAAGUUCGAACAAACACAUCAGAACUAAGGAAAUGAAUGGCCAUAUUAUGGAUGUACUUUAUUUGAUCAGUUGGGCUACACCCACCAAGUUUGUCAGAAGUUCAAAACACGGUUUUUAUCAAAAAGGGAGCUCGCUAGACACAUCAUGAAUGUAAUACGAUCAUGGAAUCAUUAUCACUAUCAGUCUCACCACGACCACUAUCAUCACCAAGAUCAUCACUAUUACAUUCCUCCACUGCCAUCGGAGCCAGCAUUAACACCAACAUUACUACCUCCACCUCCAGCAUCCAUAUCACAUGACAAGCAAUUAAUCAGAAAAACCCUCUAAUUGGUUUUAGAAAAAUCAAAAUCUUAUAUUUGAAAUCUUCUUUAAUCCAAGAAGAUUUGCCUAACACAAUGGGUUUUGUCCACUAAUAUCUAGAGACUGACAUACUCACAUGCUUGUUUUCGUUAACAAUCAUGAAAUGGAUAUUUAUAUAAUAACAAAUUAAUAAAUACAAGGAAGGGGGGGACCUGAUAUCCAUGAUAGGCACCAGAGUCCCCAACUGUAGUGCGGCAAUAAUCACCAGCUUUCUUUCCAGGACAAACAGCAUCAACUGCUAUUCCAUAAGCCUGCAAGGCUUGAAAUGGAACCAUAGCCUGCAAAAACAAUAACAAAACUCCAUCACUUAAAGAAGAAAAACAACUUCAAAAUGAGAAAGACUGAUAAAAACGAAAGCAACCCACCUCAUAAUCUUCCAUGUAAUCCCCACAUAACAAUAGAACUUUCUUCCGUGGCUUGCAAUUAGCCAUUGCUGAUGCUAACAAUGACGCUUGAGAUUUAGCUCUCUGUGUAUUGCUAUGUGAGUGAUUAUAAAUUUAUAAGUGCAGGAGAAACGUAUUGUUCUUUAACUCUCUUUGUUAAUGUUGACUCGAUGCACAUUCUGACGAAUAGAAUAAAGAAAAUGGGCGGUUUGUUAUUAACGAAAACAACUACAUGACUUCAGUUCGGUUUCACUAUUCAUAUAAAAACAUCGAAAAAAAAGAGUUCAUAUAUAUAUAUAUAUAUAUAUAUAUUUUAAUUGUUUUCUAACAUUGUUAUGCUUAGCUCAAUUGGUUUGUUGACGUGUCUUAGUCGAAGUGUCUGCUAUGUGAUAGAUAAUCGUUUUUUUUUCCUUUUAAAAAAUGGAUGAUAAAUGUUGUUCGUAACCUGAAAAUAGAAAAAAAAAUACGAGUUAGACUAAAUCGCAUUUAGACUUGAUCCAAUCAAGUCUUACAUCAAUACUGAAUCAUUAUUAAUGAUAAUUUUCAGGUGAAAAUGAAACACAACAACUCACUAUCGAAAUUAGCAUGAUAUUUAAAGUGAUCUUGUUAAUUUUUCACUGACAUCAUUCAUAUUGUAAGCAAAAUCCUCUGCUAAUGACAUUGACAGGUCAUCAUUCAUUCGCACAACCAACAUGAUGAAAACCCAUUUCUUUGCCAAGCAGUAGAGUCUAUUUUCGCCACAGGCAAAACAGCAGACAAGUUACAAAGAUUUCUAGACACUAACAUAGAAUCCAUGUGUUAUUUGUUACAAGAUGGAUUUCUACUCCCAAACAUGGAGUCUGCAUCCGUGUGUUAUUUGAUAUAAGGUACAAGCACAGCAGUUAACAUGAAAAUAGCUAAAAUGACACCCGGAUUCCAAGUAAAGCCAUCAACAGAGAGACGAAAUCAGGGUGCCCAGGCCAAGCAGCUCCUGUGAUUAAAUUCUCAUCGGUGUAGCACCGAUGCAUUGAAUCAGGUUCUAGGCUUGUAGCCAUGUUGCCCCUCCCAAGACAACAUUCAGCUUCACCGCAGGGUUUACUGUGCAUUUUAGUCCCUGCAAAGGUGAUUCGUAUGAGGGAUUAUACGGUAUAACACAUGUAAUUAACAUAUGAUAUUUGCAAUUCUAUGGAGCAAUCCUGUUUCAAACAUAGAAGAUAAAGGUGGUUGAAUCUGUCAUUUGAUGAUAUGAGCCAUGAUCAGUUGCAUACGAAUUUUCUUCAGAGGUAAAGUUCUAAAAGUAGUAUAGUUUUAAAUGUUAAAAGCGGUAAAACUAAUCUUUAAGCAUUUCCAUGUCUCCCUGUUGUCCACUGAUGACAGUCUUGCUAGCAUCAAAUAAAUAACGUGUGCACACUGUUGUAAAAAACAUGGUUGAAUCUGUAAACGUGGAGAUUUGACUCCAUCGACCACGCUAGCCGCCUCUCCUCACCUAUCUUGUCUUAACUUCAAGCGUGGGGUUAUAAAAAUAUACACACAUCACAUAAUGUUUACCUGCACUUUUCAAAGAGGGCAUUAAUCUUCACUGAUGCUGGGCAACAUGACAGGUUUGUUCCACUUGCUCACACAUAGACAAUCCACGCAUAGUGUGAUGCAUUUUUCAUCUUGCAGGAUGCUGCUUCAAACCAUGUCAAAGUUUUAUUUGUUAUUUUCCAAUGUCGAGAUGAUGCACUGACCGAAACCACUGUCUCAUUUGCUCCAUAUACAUUCCCUUGACAGUUAUUACUUGAGUGUUCUACUAAUAAAUAAAUGGUUUUGCCUUUCAUUCCUUAAGUUUACACUUGCCAUUGGUUAAGUAUUUCAUCUUAAUAUGUGAUUCAGCACCACCCAACUUCCCCAGCCAAGAGAACCUGGAAGAUUAUGCAGGUUCAUCAAAGAAACAUCUUGGCGGAGAUGAUGUCGGUCCUGCACCAGCACUUCCAAAGAAGCAAUGCCUCUCCAUUCCAUCCCCUGAAAAGGUUUGCAUCUACAACAUCAUUUAUCUCUCUGUGCUGCUCCACCUUCUCUCUGUUUAACAAAGAUACUUUUCGUACAGAUCAACUCGCCAGAUAACCAAUUAUUCAAUCACAAGCAGCUACAUCAUUCUUAUUUCCUUUGAGAAUCAUUUGUAGCUUACACUUACACUUAUCUCCUAAAGUAGGAAAAAAACUAGCAUUCAGUUAAUCAAUGCUUUCUUAUCCAGCAUCGCAAGCUCAUUGGACAUCUUCUUCACCUGCUUUUUUAUUGCAACCUGCAGUUCAUCGACGUCCACCUUUUCUCUAUGUACGAGGCAUAAAGUACUUGGCUCCAGGCACCUUUUGUUUUGCUUUGAUUUAACUAUCUUUACUCAACUUUUGCAAUCCUGUCACUAACUUUAUGAAUUCCAUGCCUUUACUUAACUUUUACAAUCGUAUCACUAACUUUAUGAAUUCCAUGCCUUUUACUUCAUAAUAUUUCUGGGCAUUUUAUCUUUGUCUAUUAUAAUAAUUAGAAUCAAAUUUCACUUAAAACACCCUCAGCAUUGCGUCGGCAUCAAAAGCUAGUAAAAAGCUAUAAUCUGUAGCUUUUUUGAUAUCACAGCAGCAUUAUGCAAUAUCAAACAAAACAUUACAAUAGCUUUGACUUUUAUAUUUUGUGCCCAAUAAAUACAGAAGAUAAUAAAAUAAGCGGAAGUUUUUCUUUUUUUUCCUAAAUCUUGGUAUCUAGAAAUUCAAUAGGCUUUAAUUAAUUCGGUCAAGUCGGGAUGAUCUACUAAGAGGUAAAGCUCUUCCAGUAAUAAUAUACUUCAUUCAUAAAACUCGAAUUCAAAAAAUAAAAGGAAUAAGUUUCAAAUCACUUAAUCCAACUAUCAUUGAUUAGCGUGUAAGUUUAACAAAAGACAACAACAUAUUUUGUUUAAGAAAAUUUUUUUUUUAAACUAAUUUUAAAAUCAACUUAAGUAUUACAAAAUAAAUAAACAUAAAAGACAUGCAUCUCUAUUUUCAUGGUCUCAUUACCUGUACUCUAAAACGAGUGGGAUUUUCAUUGUACAUUUAUUACUGUAUAAAAUUUGUAUUUUUUAAAUUUUGUAAUCAAACUUCUUUUUUGGGCAUUUUAGUCCCAAUUAAGAAGCAAUUGGCUUUAAAUUUUUAUGAAAGGGUGAGAUUGAAAAAAGAGGGACCGAAAUGAAAAACAUGUCAAACAUGGGUGACGCACCAUGAGUUUCGAAAAAAUAUAUUUUGGUCCUUCAACUUAAAUAAUCAAGAAAAUUAUACAUGUGUUUUCAAAACUAAAUGGACCGAAAAUAAACUUUGGCAAAAAAGCAGAGGUGCUGUUUUUUCCCCCUAUAUCAGAGCUGCCAUUUUGAUUGUUUUUCAAUAUUGGUACCCUAGCUUCUAAUUCAAUUAGAACCAUAAAAUUAAUUUGAUCUCCGCAAUUUCAAGUCGCAACCUAAAGUCAAAAUGCCUUGUCAAGACCACGGUAGCCUAACAGAAGGCAAGCAGGAUCAACGUAGAACACAAAUACCUAAAUUCACUUAAUAUCAAAGGAUUUAAUUGAAGAAAAAAAACCUCAAAAAAAAAUAAAAAGUUAGAGGGGCCGGGAACAUAAAAGGAAAAAAACACUGUUCUAUUGACAUGUGAGUAUAGCUACAAUUGCCAAAUCUUUGAGGGUGUUUUGUAAUUUUUAAAAAAUACUAGCACUUAUAGAUGCAGAAAUAUUCCAUUUUAUUUCCAAUUGACUUGAAAAUCUUUCAGAGACGCCGGCCGUUGUUUGUGAAUGGAGGGGAGUUGUUCCUCCCUUGUCCCUGCUAUCGGAUUUGGUAUGGGUUCACGUAUUUUCAUAUUUUUUUUAUAAUUAGAAUAUAGUAUUUAAUAGUUUAUACUCAAUAAAAAAUAAAAUACAAUGCCAAAUGAGGCCAUCCACUUAAACAUUAAAGCAGGGUCAUCAAGGGCUUUGAAUCCGGAUGUUAUUUGAUAGACAUACACGAACAGGUAGUAUUAUUGCAACAGCACAGCUAGAAUGACACUCGGAUACCAAGUAAGGCCAUCAGCUGAGACACAAACUGAGGGUGCCCUGGCCAUGCAGCUCCGGUAACCAGGUUUUCGUCGGUGUAGCAACGAUCGAUUGGAUCCGGUUCUAGCCAUGUUGCCCCUCCCAAGACGACGUUCAGCUUCACAGCAGGGUAUGCGGUGCAUUUUCUUCCCUGCAGCAACAUGAUUCACAUAUACAAGAAUAAGGAUGGCAGGUGUGAAGAAAAUGAUUACUUGUGUGAUUCUAUGAAAGUGAAAGAAAACAUUGGAUACUACCUUGAGAACUCCCGCAGCAGCUAGGAUCUGCUGCCCGUGACAAAUAGAGGCAACCGGCUUCUUUGAUUGCAUGAAUUUCUUCACCAAGGCAAUCACUGUCUCAUCCAGUGCCAAAUAUUCUGGAGACCGGCCUCCAGGGAUGACGAGAGCGUCGUAACUCGAGGCAUCCAAGCCUUCAUAGGAAGCUGUUAGAAUGAAAUUAUGGCCUGGCUUCUCAGUGUAUGUUUGGUCACCUUCAAAGUCAUGGACUGCAGUCGGGCAGAAAUCCCCAGCCUUCUUCUUGGGGCAAACUGCAUCAACGUGGCACCCAAGAGCUUGAAGGGAUUGAAGAGGAACAGUAACCUCAUAAUCUUCCAUGAAAUCCUGAAAGCAAGAAUAAGAGAAUAAAUACUUCUUAGUAAACAAGAAAAACACUUGUUUCUUCGAGCUUGAUGAUAGUAACCAGAGUAAAAUAAUUUUUGUAUUAGAACUUACCCCACAGAGAAACAGAAUCCUUUUAUCUGAACCAGCUAUCUUGCCUCCCAGUGCCUUCACAACAAGCUGGAUGUACUCAGGAUGCGCCUUAUAUAUAACUCCAGUAAUGAGAUUGCCAUCAGAAACACAAUCCAUCAUGGUUUUGGGUUCAAUCCAAAGAGCACCGGCAUCGAUGAGAACAGGUCCCAGAGCAUGGUAUGCAGUGCACUUCCGGCCUUUUAAUAAGCCUGCAGCUGCCAAGAUCAAUGGCCCAUGGCAAAUAGCAGCAAUCAGCUUUCCUGAAUCGGAAAAUUGCCUCGCACAAUUUAACACAGAUUCAUUUAUGGCAA